This is a long non-coding RNA of Lactuca sativa (garden lettuce), 934 nucleotides long. RefSeq lists it as uncharacterized. The record is from RefSeq and is a predicted model, not a curated record. NCBI's taxonomy places the organism in Eukaryota, Viridiplantae, Streptophyta, Magnoliopsida, Asterales, Asteraceae.
CUUGACCUAAGGGUUAAGGGCAUCGCCUCAUUAGGCAUAAUUCAUGAAGCGGGAAAAAUUAAGCAUCCGACCAGAAAAAUAAAUGCAUGCGUAAUUAAUGUAUCAGAUCAUUUCGAGAUGGUAGAAGUCUAGAAGAUGAGGAGACGGGCAUGGGGAAAAGUAGAAAACGCAUAGCAGAGCCUCAGAUCACCAUUCACCGUAUAACUAUUAGUUUCUAGUAUCCCAAUUCAUGGUCUCGGUUCAGCAGUUCUCCUGAAUUCAGAUCAUUGUUGAAUUCCUUUUAGAGGCUCUUGUUUAUUUCAUUCUCUAUUUCUGAUUCUAUUAACAAGUUUAGUGAGAUAUAUGAGAAAAUUGAAGAUGGUAAGAGAAGACAAAUAAUGGAAUUAGAGAAUAUGAAGAUGAAUUUUUAUAAAGAGUUUGAUUUAGAAGAUUAAAAUAAGAAUAUUACCGGCAAACUACUCCUUUUGAUUUGGGGGAGUGUUUAGUUUAAAGUUUAUGAAAGGAUUUUAAUGCAUUUUAAUCUAAAAACCUUCUUGUCCCGUAUCUUUUUAAAUUGCAAAUACAUUGAGAUAGUGAUUAAAUUUUAUUUGUUUUUUCAUUACUUUUUUGCCCUUUAUCUCACAUACCAGCUCCCUAUUUCACGUAGGAAGUGGUUGAGUGAAAGUCCUUUGACACCUGGUACACUCGUAAGCAAGCUCCUUUACAUACCAUCUGGUUAUUUAUACCUCGCUAUGUUUCACCAUGCCAUUAUGAGCAGAACCCAACAGCGGUUGUAAUGAAGCUUUGUUAAGCAUAUAUGAACGGGGGAGAUUAUAAGAGGAGGUUGUGAGCAUAUGUACCUAUCUAUAACAGUUAUUAUUGUAAAUUAAAAAAAAAAUAAACAUUUUAUAUUUUGAGUACACAAAUAAGGUUUGAUGUAUUGGUUGAUUAUAAA